RNAcentral lists this ribosomal RNA (253 nucleotides) under uncultured bacterium. RNAcentral's name for it is "partial 16S ribosomal RNA". It matches the Rfam family "Bacterial small subunit ribosomal RNA", at positions 524 to 776 of the family's 1533-position model. The record is from RNAcentral.
GACGUAGGGUGCGAGCGUUGUCCGGAUUUAUUGGGCGUAAAGAGCUCGUAGGCGGCUCGUCGCGUCAGCUGUGAAAACCCGCGGCUUAACCGUGGGCUUGCAGCUGAUACGGGCGGGCUAGAGUUCGGUAGGGGAGACUGGAAUUCCUGGUGUAGCGGUGAAAUGCGCAGAUAUCAGGAGGAACACCGAUGGCGAAGGCAGGUCUCUGGGCCAUAACUGACGCUGAGAAGCGAAAGCAUGGGGAGCGAACAGG